UCCUACGGGGGGCAGCAGUGAGGAAUAUUGGUCAAUGGGCGGAAGCCUGAACCAGCCAAGUCGCGUGAGGGAAUAAGGCCCUACGGGUCGUAAACCUCUUUUGCCGGGGAGCAAGGGCGGGGACGUGUCCCGGCCCGGAGAGUACCCGGAGAAAAAGCAUCGGCUAACUCCGUGCCAGCAGCCGCGGUAAUACGGAGGAUGCGAGCGUUAUCCGGAUUUAUUGGGUUUAAAGGGUGCGUAGGCGGAAAGGCAAGUCAGAAGUGAAAACCCAAGGCUCAACCAUGGGACUGCUUUUGAAACUGUCA
RNAcentral lists this ribosomal RNA (305 nucleotides) under uncultured bacterium. RNAcentral's name for it is "bacterial SSU rRNA". It matches the Rfam family "Bacterial small subunit ribosomal RNA", at positions 337 to 638 of the family's 1533-position model. The record is from RNAcentral.